CAGCCGCCGCGGUAAUACGUAGGAGGCGAGCGUUAUCCGGAUUUAUUGGGCGUAAAGCGCGUGCAGGUGGUUUGGCAAGUUGGGUAUGAAAUCUUCUGGCUUAACUAGGAGAGGUUGCUCAAAACUGCCAGACUAGAGGACGAUAGAGGAAGGUGGAAUUCCCGGUGUAGUAGUGAAAUGCGUAGAUAUCGGGAGGAACACCAGUGGCGAAGGCGGCCUUCUGGGUCGUUCCUGACACUAAGACGCGAAAGCAUGGGUAGCAAACGGGAUUAGAAACCCCGGUAGUCCAUGCCGUAAACGAUGUGAACUUGAUGUCGGUGGUGUAAUAAUCAUCGGUGUCGUAGCUAACGCGAUAAGUUCACCGCCUGGGGAGUACGAUCGCAAGGUUAAAACUCAAAGGAAUUGACGGGGACCCGCACAAGCAGCGGAGCGUGUGGUUUAAUUCGAUGCUACACGAAGAACCUUACCUGGACUUGACAUAUAGGUGGUAGGGAUCGAAAGGUGACCGACCCCUCGGGGAGCUUAUACAGGUGCUGCAUGGCUGUCGUCAGCUCGUGCCGUGAGGUGUCCGGUUAAGUCCGGUAACGAGCGCAACCCUUGCGGUAUGUUACAUGUGUCAUGCGGACUCGCGGUACAACACCGGAGGAAGGUGGGGACGACGUCAAGUCAGCAUGGCCUUUAUGUCCAGGGCUACACACACGCUACAAUGGUCGGUACAAUGGGUAGCAAAGUCGCGAGGCGAAGCCAAUCCUCAAACACCGAUCUCAGUUCGGAUUGCAGUCUGCAACUCGACUGCAUGAACGCGGAGUUGCUAGUAAACGCGCGUCAGCAAUAGUGCGUGAAUACGUUCCCGGGUCUUGUACACACCGCCCGUCACGUCAUGGAAGUUGGUAAUACUUGAAGCCGGUAUCUUAACCCUAACGGGAAGGAGCUGGCGAGGGUAGGACCGAUGACUGGGACGAAGUCGUAACAAGGUAACCGUA
This 983-nucleotide ribosomal RNA is filed under the name uncultured bacterium. RNAcentral's name for it is "bacterial SSU rRNA". It matches the Rfam family "Bacterial small subunit ribosomal RNA", at positions 509 to 1504 of the family's 1533-position model. The record is from RNAcentral.